UGAAGUUUGCUAUGCAUAAUGCAAUUACAAAAGAUAAUAAUAAGAGUUAAAAUCUUCAACAAAAAAAUGGCAAUGCACAUUCGCAAGCUUUUUCUCAUGGGACUUUUAUGCAUUGCAUUGGUCCUAUCUUCUGCAGGAGCAACCCAAGGUGAUAAUCAUAAAAUAAAAUGUAUUUUUGGAGAUUGUGGAGAUUGUGAAAGAAGAUGCAUUUUGGAGGGAUUUCACAAAGGGGAAUGUGAUUAUGAAUCGGAAUGUUGUUGUCAGUUUCCUUUCUAAAAUAAAUUACGUUAUUAUAAAUACGUAACAAUCUCGAAUAAAAUAAAUAAGACACAUCUUCUUCCAAAUCUUUUAUUUUAUACACAUAUAUUGUCUGGUUUGAGCAGAAGUAAAAGUGGAAGAAUUGAAAGAAGAAUGACUUCUUCAACUGAAAGAUAGGAAAUAUAGUUAUAGAAUCAAAAGUUGUGAUGAAAAAUAUUAUGUUUAAAAUAAUAUACACCAUUGGUGUAAAAUAUAGUUGAUAUAUUAAUGAAAAUUUACUAUUGUGUUUUA
Molecule: long non-coding RNA, 549 nt
Organism: Vicia villosa (hairy vetch)
Lineage: Eukaryota; Viridiplantae; Streptophyta; Magnoliopsida; Fabales; Fabaceae
Exons: 2
Source: RefSeq, a predicted model, not a curated record